AUGUAGCUGUCCAGUUUUGCCAGCACCAUCUCUUGAAGAGACUGUCGUUUCCCCAUUGUAUGUCCAUGACUCCUUUAUCGUAUAUUAAUUGACCAUAUAUGUUUGGGUUAAUGUCUGGAGUCUCUAUUCUGUUCCACUGGUCUGUGGCUCUGUUCUUGUGCCAGUACCAAACUGUCUUGAUUACUGUGGCUUUGUAGUAGAGCUUGAAGUUGGGGAGCGAGAUCCCCCCCACUUUAUUCUUCCUUCUCAGGAUUGCUUUGGCUAUUCGGGGUCUUUGGUGUUUCCAUAUGAAUUUUAGAACUAUUUGUUCCAGUUCGUUGAAGAAUGCUGUUGGUAAUUUGAUAGGGAUUGCAUCGAAUCUGUAUAUUGCUUUGGGCAGGAUGGCCAUUUUGAUGAUAUUAAUUCUUCCUAGCCAAGAGUAUGGGAUGAGUUUCCAUUUGUUAGUGACCUCUUUAAUUUCUCUUAAGAGUGUCUUGUAGUUUUCAGGGUAUAGGUCUUUCACUUCCUUGGUUAGGUUUAUUACUAGGUAUUUUAUUCUUUUUGAUGCAAUUGUGAAUGGAAUUGUUUUCCUGAUUUCUCUUUCUGCUAGUUCAUCGUUAGUGUAUAGGAAAGCAACAGAUUUCUGUGUAUCAAUAUUGUAUCCUGCAACUUUGCUGAAUUCAGAUAUUAGUUCUAGUAGUUUUGGAGCGGAGUCUUUAGGGUUUUUUAAGUACAAUAUCAUGUCAUCUGCAAAUAGUGACAGUUUGACUUCUUCUUUACCAAUCUGGAUUCCUUGUGUUUCUUUGUUUUGUCUGAUUGCCGUGGCUAGGACCUCCAGUACCACGUUGAAUAACAGUGGGGAUGGUGGGCAUCCCUGUCUUGUUCCUGAUCUUAGGUGAAAAGCUUUCAGCUUCUUGCUGUUAAGUAUGAUUUUUCAGGCAUUUUUGUUGGUGGCAAAACUUCUAGCAUUAAAUGAAGAAGUUUUUAUUUCUUUAGAAAAGAAGACCAAAGGGGAUAAAGAUUGAGACCUUUGAAAUGAGAGCUCAGGAACAGCACAUGCAAAACGUGGUAAUUUAUCUGCCUUGAGACACGGUGUGAUCGCAAUACUAGCACGGCUCUCACUCCUCCGGAGAACUUCCAGUUGUCGUUAUCCAUGCAUGUAUUAUUUCCAGUGCACUCUUCUUAGGAAAGGAGCUCUGUGAGAAGAAAGGGAAGCCCUCGCACUGGACAGCCCAUUGCCUACACAGUGUAUGGGCGUACGGGGGGCCCUGCUCUGUAUUCGCCGAAAUCCCGCUGCAGAUGAAAAUAUAACAUUGGCAUUACUCUAGUUUUUUCAUGCUUUAUGAAUGUGAUGUAUGAGGAAAAAAACAGAAAACAUCACCGAGUACCCACUUGUCCAAGGAGUGUUGGCAAUACCAAGGAUUUAACAAAUUCACACACACACAGACACUCCUCGCCUUUAAGCUGCUUAGUAAGACAUCCACACAAAUAACGAAAUACUCCAAUAGGUAACUCCCCACAUAUGCCCCAAGGAACUAUGAGGUAUGGCAGAGUUCCAAGGAAGGCCAAUUCACGGAAGAGAGGGAAGCUUUAGAAGAGGGAGAAGGUCACUUCCUGACUGAUGGAGACAAGAUUCAGGGGGAAGAGUGAGGCCAGAAAGCUCUACAGGAGCUGUGUGUAUAAGUCUGUGUGGGGGCUACUGUAGAAAACUGGUUCUGACCUUUAAUGAUGUACCCAAUGCUCCCCUGGGCCCAGGGAUGGAAGGCUGCCCUUGUAAUAAGGUCCAAAGUGAACUGCCAUCACUGUCACCAUCACUGUCUCCUUCGUGGGGGGACGUCAGCCUGCAGCCUCUACAAUGUGCGAGGAACGAUUUAUGGGCACAUGAUGUAGAGUGUGACAUGCCUGUGCUGGCUGUUAUCAACUUAGGGGGAGAUGCGGGAUUUGGGGGUCUGGUGGCUGGAAGCCAAGCAGCCUGAUCCCCAAUCACAUCUCCAUCCCCUUCCAGCUCUGGAUCAGAGGGACACUAUGUGACUCAGUCCUCGCCUCUCAGACCGAGGACAGCCACAGUCCCACACUGGGAGCACGGCUGUGGUGUUGUGAGUGCUUUGACAUCAAUUCUCAUCCAGCCUAGGCACCCGGCCAGAGAAGGCCCGCCCUCAGCCCACCACACAGAGCAGUUGGUCAGCCAGUCCUGAACCUGCAGGUGCUGCUAAAAAGCCCAGCAAAGAAGGCACUGCCUGGAGACAGUGUCCAGAACAGCACGGUUCAGGCUCAAGUUCUUGGCUCUGCCACUGGUGGCUGCAACCUGCCUGGGUCUAGAGAAAGUGAGAGCUUCUGCAGCAGAGGGGGAUCCUUCUUGGCCUGAACAGCAGGAGAAAGCAAGCAUAUGGGUUCUUAAUCAGUGCCACCGGUGUCUAUUUUCUUGCCUGACCGGGUUGUGAUCAGAGACCCUUCAAUUAGGCCGCUCUGAGGUCUCUGGAGUUGUGAUCCUGCAGAAUGGUUAGACCUGCCCCCGCAGCGCCGGCCCCCCACCCUCCACUGUCUAAGGGGCAGCAGGUGAGCGUGAGUGGCCAGCAUCUGGCAGUGGCCCUGCUGAAGGUAAACACUCCAACUUACAUCAUAAUUUGGGGUGAAAGCUGUCAAGAAGCUGAAGGGAAAAUUAUUUAUAGGAUUUCUUUUCACGAUUUAAUAUCAGAGUAGCAAAAGCUCCUAUUAAUCCUGGUUCCCUUCACAAAAUAGUCGAAGACUUGGUCCCAAGACCAAUGUCUGAGGGUCUUAUUUUAGUUCACAGUUACAGUAUUUAAUGUGCUGUCACUGUCUGGGAAGGGAAAGAAAUGUCCCCCAACAGCAGAAUCUUACUGCUAUUUAAUUGCCUCAAGAGACGUAAGAGCUCUCUCUAGAGAUGGAGACCACAGGAGACCUCCAGAGCGCAGGCUGGUGGUACUGACAGAGAACGGCACUGAGUGUCCUGCCCGUCUGCGCACAGGGAACUAAGCUCCCGCUGAUUAAAGGGAGGGAAACACGGUGCGGACCUGACACCAUUUGAGGGCGGUGUUUUCUUUCCACGAUCUGCCCCAAUAUGAAAUACUCUCCUAAAAUCGUUUAAAGCAGCCCUUGUUUCUCCAGGGACGGAAGCAAGUUUGUGUCAUUUCUUGUUUCUGCUCUGAGCCUGCUGGCGUUGACCCUGCAAGAACCUUCAGGACAAAGCUCAGGUCCUUGGCAUUUGUUUCCAGGCACACUGAGGACCGAGAGCCAGAGCCGCUGGGAGAUCUGCUCGGAAUUAUGUCAGCAUGAAAAGGCACUUGGCUCUGUGCUUCUCCAGGAUGUGAACAAAUUCUCUGCCAGCCUGAAUACAGCAGGGCUUACGCCCCCAGCCUCUUUCUCCAGAAUGGUUCUCUUCUUCCAACAUGAGCUGAGUUCAUUUUUAUUUCACCAUCAGUGGUCAAUUCAAGACGAAAAUUUUAAUGCAUGCAUUAGCACCAACAUAGCCUCCUUUUCUACCAUCUGGCUGGGGACCUGCUUACUUUGGAGAUGAAACAGGGGCUGUAUCAGAGGCAACCGAUGAAUCCAACUGUACACACCCUUAAGAAACUUUCUGCCCAUCGCUGGAGCUAACAUUUUCGAUGAUCGUGGCAUGCAUGUUUGUGUGCAUAUACUUACUAUACACCCACUCUCUAAUGUUGUGCUCAUAAAAACAGAGCAACAUUAGAACCUUUUUUUCCUCCUCUGGCUUCCCUAAAAUAAAGCAGAAGAAAGGCACUGAUGAACGUUUCCAUCCAUUUCCAUUUCACAGAGGUGCCGUCAUUUGCACUGAUUUCUAAAGAAGCCAGACUUACAGCCGCUAAGAUCAUCCUCUACAUCAGAAACUUGUUGCUAUUUUCCAGUCCGUGUAAAAUAAACACGAAGCAAGCCAGCCUGGAGCAGAACUGAGGUCUCCUGCCAUGAGCACCCUAUGCUGGCCACGUGCAGGAGGCACCGUGGAAGUGGGCCUGCUGGCCCCAGUGACACCCUCGCAAUGGCGGCUGCAGCUGACAUCUUCAAGGCAACUGCAGAGAUGGCAGCCAGAAUCACCCCGCCACGUCACACCAGUGUUCCUGCCCUCAGAUUUGAACACACUGUGAAGGACGGUGGGAAGCACACCCGGGGCAGGGGCCUCUUCAGCACAUGCCUCUGUAUGACUACCCAUAAGGCUGGCACGAGGAUGCACAGAGGGGCUUCCAGGACACCCAGGACCAAACGAACAGUCUACGUGAGCAGGCGAGUGUUGGCCAUACUGUCCAGAGCGAUGGGCUCUUCCAGGGGGAGAGCAUGCAUUUGGUACGUACCCCUGAACAAGGCUUCCGCACUCCAACAGGAUGGCUAACACAGGGCUGAAUGAGUCACUAAAAAAUAACAACAGUUAACACGUAAUUUGCACCUAUUGUCUGCCUGGCCUGAUUCUGUGUGCUUCCAACUCAUGUAAUCCUUUUAACAAACAAAGAAUCCUACCUAACAGAAUCUCACCAUGUGCUUCCACUGAUGUACCCCAGGUACCCCACACACAAUGUGGCUCACAUACAAUAAAUCAUCGCUCUCCUGUCACGAUGUUCUCACAGCUCGGAGUCGUAGGCAGCAGGAAUUUUGGAGCCACCUUCUCCUAGGUAUGCUCACGUUCCCACGGAUGAUGGAUAAAUGACUCUAUGUGCAUUCAGUAUGCUAUGCUUUGCCCCACUCUCCCCCAUUUCCCUCUAAAAGGCUUUUCAGCAGCACGCUGACAAUCGAAAGACAAUUUUCUGAUUGACUUUGAAUACAUCAGUCACGAGACAGUCCAAUAAAUUGAGCUUUUGCUGGGGCAAGACUAUUCGCCCAGAGAACCUGAAAACCAAUGUGUGUUUUUUCCUAGACUCUGGAAGCCUGAAAUCUAAAGUUGACAGCACUUGGCUAAAAUGAAGGCACGAGUGUGCCAAAAUGGUAAUGACUUAUAAAAAUAAAUGUUACUUUUAAUAUUAUAAUAAUGUCAAGAAAUAGGGCAGCUCUAGAUAAACCCUCAUCCAAUGGGAAUUAAAAUUAGGCCAUCAUUCUCAUAUCUCUUCGGACUCACCAAACUAGGAAAAUGGGUGCUCGCGAGGUGAAAAGUCACAAUGCGUUCGUUCAUUAUUUCCUCAGAUCUUAGCAUCUCAUCUUUUUAAAAAAAUUCACUUUUGGAAAACUAUGUAUUUAAAUGAAUUAUUUUUUGCCACUGUAGUAGAUGAGUGCCUUUCUCUGAUUGUAUGUAAACCUAAAGAGACAAUGAAGGGGAUCCAUUUCCUUUUGAAGUUAUAUUUAUGACAAAGAAGAUAUGGUUUGUACUGUUUUCUUAAUGAUAAAAAAAACUAGUGUUGUACACAGAUUACAAGGGCCUAACCUUUAAUGUUCUUUAAAAAUAAGGAUGUAUGUUUUAAACGUAUCAGAAAGCUAUAAAUUAAAAACAAAGGACAUCUUAAAUAUUUUUCUUUCAAAAACAAUCUGCAUGGUUAAAUGAUAAUAUGUAUCGUCUAAUGUCUAUAGAAAAAAUUAAGUUAGAAUGCUGUUUGGAGUUAAUUCUUCAGCGCUGGUAGCUCUGGGUGGUAAUCAAUUUGCCCUGAGUGUGCGUUAACUUGUCAAUGGAUCAUUAUGGUACAAACGUGAGAGAAAGAGUUGGGUAAAAUUUUUUACCUGUACUUGAGAUGGGAAAAACGGC
Long non-coding RNA from Manis pentadactyla (Chinese pangolin), 5677 nucleotides. RefSeq lists it as uncharacterized. The record is from RefSeq and is a predicted model, not a curated record. NCBI's taxonomy places the organism in Eukaryota, Metazoa, Chordata, Mammalia, Pholidota, Manidae. The transcript is spliced from 3 exons.